This is a non-coding RNA of Halothermothrix orenii H 168, 361 nucleotides long. It matches the Rfam family "transfer-messenger RNA". Rfam says of the family: Bacterial tmRNA, also known as 10Sa RNA or SsrA, is named for its dual tRNA and mRNA-like properties. Its role is to liberate the mRNA from a stalled ribosome. To accomplish this part of the tmRNA is used as a reading frame that ends in a translation stop signal. The record is from Rfam. Lineage: Bacteria; Bacillati; Bacillota; Clostridia; Halanaerobiales; Halothermotrichaceae.
GGGGGUGUUCCGGGUUUCGCCUGCAUGGUGAAUCCUUCAGGAGCGAGCCGUGGUUGGUCUUUCACACGUAAAACACUGACCAUUUAAAAUUACUUGCAGACAAUAACAAUUACGCUUUAGCUGCUGCUUAAACAAAGCAGCUACGCUUAUCCGGUUUUUGCCUGCGGAAUCGGGUAAGUGUCAUAAACAGUGGGCUACCUGCUACCUGAUGCCUGUAGGGUAGUAGGGAACAUUACAGGCUGAUAGUCUGGGACCCUGUCUGUGGGGGAUCAGGCUAUGAGAUUAAAACACAGACUACGCUCGUAGGUGCCUGAAGGGUGACCCAUGUAGUACGUGGGUUCGAAUCCCACCACCUCCACCA